CUAACAAGGAUUCCCUUAGUAACUGCGAGUGAAGAGGGAAAAGCUCAAAUUUAAAAUCUGGCAGUGUUUCACUGUCCGAGUUGUAACCUAGAGAAGUGUAACCUGCGCUGGACCGUGUAUAAGUCUCCUGGAAUGGAGCAUCACAGAGGGUGAGAAUCCCGUCUUUGACAUGGACUACCAGUGCAUUGUGGUUGCGCUCUCAACGAGUCGAGUUGUUUGGGAAUGCAGCUCUAAAUGGGUGGUAAAUUCCAUCUAAAGCUAAAUAUUGGCGAGAGACCGAUAGCGAACAAGUACCGUGAGGGAAAGAUGAAAAGAACUUUGGAAAGAGAGUUAAACAGUAUGUGAAAUUGUUGAAAGGGAAACGUUUGAAGUCAGUCGCGUUGGUUGGGGAUCAGCCUGACAUUGUUGGGUGUACUUCCUGGUCGACGGGCCAACAUCAGUUUUGACUGCCAGAAAAAGAUCAAAGGAAUGUGGCACCUUUGGGUGUGUUAUAGCCCUUGGUCGUAUAUGGUGGUUGGGACUGAGGAAAGCAGCGUGCCAAAAGGCCGGGUUUCGACCACGUUCACGCUGAGGAUGUUGGCAUAAUGGCUUUAAGCGACCCGUCUUGAAACACGGACCAAGGAGUCUAACAUGCAUGCGAGUGUUUGGGUGGAAAACCCUUACGCGUAAUGAAAGUGAAAGUUGAGAUCCCUGUCGCGGGGAGCAUCGACGCCCGGACCAGAACUUUUGGGACGGAUCCGCGGUAGAGCACGUAUGUUGGGACCCGAAAGAUGGUGAACUAUGCCUGAAUAGGGUGAAGCCAGAGGAAACUCUGGUGGAGGCUCGUAGCGAUUCUGACGUGCAAAUCGAUCGUCAAAUUUGGGUAUAGGGGCGAAAGACUAAUCG
This 885-nucleotide ribosomal RNA is filed under the name Amanita citrinoannulata. RNAcentral's name for it is "eukaryotic LSU rRNA". It matches the Rfam family "Eukaryotic large subunit ribosomal RNA", at positions 65 to 937 of the family's 3401-position model. The record is from RNAcentral. Lineage: Eukaryota; Fungi; Basidiomycota; Agaricomycetes; Agaricales; Amanitaceae.